GGCAGCCCUUUUGGGAUGCUCUCUCUCUCUCCUCUUUUCCUCCAUUUUUUUCAUAUUUUCUUUAGUUUUAUUUGGGGAAUUUAGAAAGACUCACUCAAGUCUUGAAGGGAAUCGUCAUCAAGAGCACCACACCUCUAUUUUGGGUAGUUGGGUGAAGAAAUUGCUUGGUUCAUACUAGCUCAUAGCUAGGAGUGACUAAGCUAAUUCUCCCCUCUCUUCCUUAUUAUCUAUUCCAUAAUUUUAUUUGCUAUUGAUGAUGUAUUUAACUAUGGAUAGUGAGUAGUUCAAUUUUGGGAGUUAGGGUUGUGAACCCCUAACUCAUCUUGUAUAAAUAUUGAUGCUUUAAUUUUAAUAAAUGCAAUUUCCAUUGUCUUGCUUGGGUCUCUAUUAUCUUGCUCUCUAGGCCUCUAAUUUUGGAUAUUGCGGCCUUAACCGGCGUAAUGCCCAAAUUAGAGAGUUGAUUGUGGCCCUAACCGGCAUAAUCGAUACACCGAAAGGAUAAUUGGUUU
Molecule: long non-coding RNA, 509 nt
Filed under: Rosa chinensis
Lineage: Eukaryota; Viridiplantae; Streptophyta; Magnoliopsida; Rosales; Rosaceae
Description: sRNA RchiOBHm_Chr3g0471161
Source: RNAcentral